GAUCCGGGCUCAGGAUGAACGCUGGCGGCGUGCUUAACACAUGCAAGUCGAGCGAAGCACUUUGGAAAGAUUCUUCGGAUGAUUUCCUUUGUGACUGAGCGGCGGACGGGUGAGGUAACGCGUGGGUAACCUGCCUCAUACAGGGGGAUAACAGUUAGAAAUGACUGCUAAUACCGCAUAAGACCACGGUACCGCAUGGUACAGUGGUAAAAACUCCGGUGGUAUGAGAUGGACCCGCGU
RNAcentral lists this ribosomal RNA (240 nucleotides) under uncultured bacterium. RNAcentral describes it as "partial 16S ribosomal RNA". It matches the Rfam family "Bacterial small subunit ribosomal RNA", at positions 15 to 236 of the family's 1533-position model. The record is from RNAcentral.